RNAcentral lists this ribosomal RNA (375 nucleotides) under uncultured organism. Its description in RNAcentral is "partial 16S ribosomal RNA". It matches the Rfam family "Bacterial small subunit ribosomal RNA", at positions 527 to 896 of the family's 1533-position model. The record is from RNAcentral.
GUAGGUGGCAAGCGUUGUCCGGAAUUAUUGGGCGUAAAGCGCGCGCAGGUGGUUCUUUAAGUCUGAUGUGAAAGACCCCCGGGCUCAACCGGGGAGGGUCAUUGGAAACUGGGGAACUUGAGUGCAGGAGAGGAAAGUGGAAUUCCACGUGUAGCGGUGAAAUGCGUAGAUAUGUGGAGGAACACCAGUGGCGAAGGCGACUUUCUGGCCUGUAACUGACACUGAGGCGCGAAAGCGUGGGGAGCAAACAGGAUUAGAUACCCUGGUAGUCCACGCCGUAAACGAUGAGUGCUACGUGUUGGGGGGGUUUCCGCCCCUCAGUGCUGCAGCUAACGCAUUAAGCACUCCGCCUGGGGAGUACGGUCGCAAAGACUG